CAUCUGGACAGCCUGUUCUGGGAAGCCCCAGUGGAGUGGGGGCAGGGGUGGCCUCUGGACAGGGGCCCUCCACAGCCAGGCUUGUCUGGGCUCUUCCCAAAGAGGCUUGGCACUGGGUGGGUGGGCAGCCGAAGUGGGGGGACGGUGAGGCCCAGAUGAUCUUCAGCCGGGUGGUCUUCACGCCCCACUGGGAGGCCUGUGGCCCCCGUUCUGCCCUGCCCCCUGGCGGCACAGCCCUCGGUCCGGGCCCUGGGCAGGGAGCAGGCCGCCACCCUGCGCUGACCGUGCUGCCGGGUGCUGUCUGUCUGUUAUAUAGCCCUGUCAGUCUGCUAUAAGGCCGGACCGGGGGCGGACAACGGCGAGGAAGGGGAAAUAGAAGAGGAAAUGGAGAAUCCGGAAAUGGUGGACCUGCCUGAGAAACUAAAGCACCAGCUGCGGCAUCGGGAGCUGUUCCUCUCCCGGCAGCUGGAGUCUCUGCCCGCCACGCACAUCAGGUAGCCCCCAGCAGCUCCCGCCCUGGGCCCCUCGGGCUGCCCUCGCCUUUCCAGCCUGCCCGUCCUUCUCUUCCAGGGGCAAGUGCAGCGUCACCCUGCUCAACGAGACCGAGUCGCUCAAGUCCUACCUGGAGCGGGAGGAUUUCUUCUUCUAUUCUCUAGUCUACGACCCACAGCAGAAGACCCUGCUGGCAGAUAAAGGAGAGAUUCGAGUAGGAAACCGGUACCAGGCAGACAUCACCGACUUGUUAAAAGAAGACGGAGUCUCGCUCUGUUGCCCAGGCUGGAGUGCAGUGGGGUGAUCUCGGCUCACUGCAACCUCCGCCUCCCAGGCGAGGAGGAUGGCCGAGACCAGUCCAAGCUGGAGACCAAGGUGUGGGAGGCGCACAACCCACUCACAGACAAGCAGAUCGACCAGUUCCUGGUGGUGGCCC
Molecule: small RNA, 928 nt
Filed under: Pongo abelii (Sumatran orangutan)
Lineage: Eukaryota; Metazoa; Chordata; Mammalia; Primates; Hominidae
Description: retained intron
Source: RNAcentral